AGGUGACACAGAAGGUGGCCUGAGGUGAGGGAAGGUGACACAGAAGGUGGCCUGAGGUGGGGGAAGGUGACACAGAAGGUGGCCUGAGGUGGGGGAAGGUGACACAGAAGGUGGCCUGAGGUGGGGGAAGGUGAUACAGAAGGUGGCCUGAGGUGGGGGAAGGUGACACAGAAGGUGGCCUGAGGUGAGGGAAGGUGACACAGAAGGUGGCCUGAGGUGGGGGAAGGUGACACAGAAGGUGGCCUGAGGUGAGGGAAGGUGACACACAAGGUGGCCCGUAGUCACAGGAAUGCAAAGCCAAACUUUAUGAUACAA
This is a long non-coding RNA of Acomys russatus (golden spiny mouse), 315 nucleotides long. RefSeq lists it as uncharacterized. The transcript is spliced from 4 exons. NCBI's taxonomy places the organism in Eukaryota, Metazoa, Chordata, Mammalia, Rodentia, Muridae. The record is from RefSeq and is a predicted model, not a curated record.